This 253-nucleotide ribosomal RNA is filed under the name uncultured bacterium. RNAcentral's name for it is "partial 16S ribosomal RNA". It matches the Rfam family "Bacterial small subunit ribosomal RNA", at positions 524 to 776 of the family's 1533-position model. The record is from RNAcentral.
UACGUAGGGGCCGAGCGUUGUCCGGAGUUAUUGGGCGUAAAGCGCACGUAGGCGGCUUUGUAAGUUAGAGGUGAAAGCCCGGGGCUCAACUCCGGAACUGCCUUUAAGACUGCAUCGCUAGAAUUGUGGAGAGGUGAGUGGAAUUCCGAGUGUAGAGGUGAAAUUCGUAGAUAUUCGGAAGAACACCAGUGGCGAAGGCGACUCACUGGACACAUAUUGACGCUGAGGUGCGAAAGCGUGGGGAGCAAACAGG